Molecule: ribosomal RNA, 427 nt
Filed under: uncultured bacterium
Lineage: Bacteria
Description: bacterial SSU rRNA
Rfam family: Bacterial small subunit ribosomal RNA
Source: RNAcentral
UGGGGAAUUUUGGACAAUGGGCGAAAGCCUGAUCCAGCAAUGCCGCGUGCAGGAUGAAGGCCUUCGGGUUGUAAACUGCUUUUGUACGGAACGAAAAAGCUUCUCCUAAUACGAGAGGCCCAUGACGGUACCGUAAGAAUAAGCACCGGCUAACUACGUGCCAGCAGCCGCGGUAAUACGUAGGGUGCGAGCGUUAAUCGGAAUUACUGGGCGUAAAGCGUGCGCAGGCGGUUAUAUAAGACAGAUGUGAAAUCCCCGGGCUCAACCUGGGAACUGCAUUUGUGACUGUAUAGCUAGAGUACGGCAGAGGGGGAUGGAAUUCCGCGUGUAGCAGUGAAAUGCGUAGAUAUGCGGAGGAACGCCGAUGGCGAAGGCAAUCCCCUGGACCUGUACUGACGCUCAUGCACGAAAGCGUGGGGAGCAAACA